Molecule: ribosomal RNA, 460 nt
Filed under: uncultured bacterium
Lineage: Bacteria
Description: bacterial SSU rRNA
Rfam family: Bacterial small subunit ribosomal RNA
Source: RNAcentral
GACGAACGCUGGCGGCGUGCUUAACACAUGCAAGUCGAGCGGGGUCCAACCACUGGCAACAGUGGGAAGACCUAGCGGCGAACGGGUGAGUAACACGUGAGGAACCUGCCCCAGAGACCGGGAUAACCCUCCGAAAGGAGAGCUAAUACCGGAUGCCCUUGUCGGAUCGCAUGGUCUGAUGAGGAAAUGGAUUCCGCUCUGGGAGGGCCUCGCGGCCUAUCAGCUUUGGGUGAGGUAACGGCUCACCAAGGCUAUGACGGGUAGCUGGUCUGAGAGGACGACCAGUCACACUGGAACUGAGACAACGGUCCAGACACCUACGGGUGGCAGCAGUCGAGAAUUUUUCUCAAUGGGGCAACCCUGAAGAGCGACGCCGCGUGGAGGAUGAAGGCUUUCGGGUUGUAAACUCCUGUCAUUUGAGAACAAGGUGCAUCGGUUAACUGCCGGUGCAUUGAUAGUA